RNAcentral lists this ribosomal RNA (491 nucleotides) under uncultured bacterium. RNAcentral describes it as "partial 16S ribosomal RNA". It matches the Rfam family "Bacterial small subunit ribosomal RNA", at positions 29 to 506 of the family's 1533-position model. The record is from RNAcentral.
AGUGAACGCUGGCGGUAGGCCUAACACAUGCAAGUCGAACGGCAGCACAGUAAGAGCUUGCUCUUACGGGUGGCGAGUGGCGGACGGGUGAGGAAUACAUCGGAAUCUACUUUUUCGUGGGGGAUAACGUAGGGAAACUUACGCUAAUACCGCAUACGACCUACGGGUGAAAGCAGGGGAUCUUCGGACCUUGCGCGAUUGAAUGAGCCGAUGUCGGAUUAGCUAGUUGGCGGGGUAAAGGCCCACCAAGGCGACGAUCCGUAGCUGGUCUGAGAGGAUGAUCAGCCACACUGGAACUGAGACACGGUCCAGACUCCUACGGGAGGCAGCAGUGGGGAAUAUGGGACAAUGGGCGCAAGCCUGAUCCAGCCAUACCGCGUGGGUGAAGAAGGCCUUCGGGUUGUAAAGCCCUUUUGUUGGGAAAGAAAAGCAGCAGGUUAAUACCCCGCUGUUCUGACGGGACCCAAAGAAUAAGCACCGGCUAACUUCGU